RNAcentral lists this ribosomal RNA (253 nucleotides) under uncultured bacterium. Its description in RNAcentral is "partial 16S ribosomal RNA". It matches the Rfam family "Bacterial small subunit ribosomal RNA", at positions 524 to 776 of the family's 1533-position model. The record is from RNAcentral.
UACGUAGGGUGCGAGCGUUGUCCGGAAUUAUUGGGCGUAAAGAGCUCGUAGGCGGCUUGUCGCGUCGGAUGUGAAAGCCCGGGGCUUAACUCCGGGUCUGCAUUCGAUACGGGCAGGCUAGAGUUCGGUAGGGGAGAUCGGAAUUCCUGGUGUAGCGGUGAAAUGCGCAGAUAUCGGGAGGAACACCGGUGGCGAAGGCGGUUCUCUGGGCCUGACCUGACGCUGAGGAGCGAAAGCAUGGGGAGCGAACAGG